CCAGGAACAAACAGAAGAUGAAACUGGCGAGGAUAUUUGCCCGGAACCAGUUCCAUCUACUAGUAACGUUGUCGCUCAAGAACACCCAGAGCAGAACAGACAACAAACUUACAUCUUUGAAGUAAGUGGAACAAUCCCGAUAUUGAAUGACUUUGAAUGUAAAAUGUGUUUUUGUGUAAUUGUAUUUGUCUUUUUCUCUUAACAAGGAGGAACCUGAUG
Molecule: long non-coding RNA, 219 nt
Organism: Xenopus tropicalis (tropical clawed frog)
Lineage: Eukaryota; Metazoa; Chordata; Amphibia; Anura; Pipidae
Exons: 3
Source: RefSeq, a predicted model, not a curated record